AUUCAUAAUAUUUGUAUAUAUCUCACUUUUCUUUUUGGUAAUUCUCUAUGAAUAAUGAACUAUUAAUUAUGUGAUAUGUUGCAGAGUGAUGUGUCCUUUGUAUUUUUAUAUAUAUCAUGCAAUGUCUGUAUUGUUUAUAAUUCUGCUAAGGAGACAGCCCGAAUGGAUCAUUGUAUACAUGAAACAUCAUGUCAAGCGGUGUGCUCUUCCUAUCUUUGUGUAAUUCGCGAGAGUACUCAUUAUUAAAUUGAUAUCUAUGGAGACAUAAUUUUAGAUCUGACUAUAUAUAGUUUAUUAUUAUGUCUGUCCUUUGUGGCAAAUAGUAUGGUAUUCAAAGAAGCAUAACCCAUAAAAGCGGUGCGCUUCUUAGAGGUAUAUUUCCAUCUGUGAUGGGAAUUAUAUGUUUUUCUUUAUAUAUAUCCUUGUGUGAUGUUGUCUUCCUUUUUUGUAGGAUCCUGGAUUGAGUCAGAGCUAUUUUUGUUCUUGCUUUUCGGAAUACUCGUUAUGAACAAGAGGUGGACACAGGCUUUUCGUAAUCUGAAAUAAUUUGGAGCUGGCAGCUUUGUCUUUGAUGACUGUCAUCGGUGGAUCACAAAUAGUGCUAGAUAUUGACUGCGAACAUAUUGAUGUAUAUUAGAAAGCGUGUUGCCGGCGAGAAUUAUAUUUUCUAAUUUAAUUUGCGUAUCUCGUGCACAAUCAUUGGAUUAGAUUGGAUAUAUUCUACGAAAUAUAAUUGAAAUAUUGUCACAUUAUGAAUUGGCAGAUAUGUCACUUCUUUCCAAUUCAUAUUAAUUAAUAAUUAUUAAGAAUUAUGGCUUUAUUGUUAUGACUUUACUCUUUGGAGGAUAUCUGCGUUUGUUUAUGCAACCGCUGUAUAUCUAUAUAUCGCGUGAUAUCGUUUAUUACGUAAUAUUGUUUGUCGGAUCUUCUGGCUUUGCCGAUCUUUCUUUCUUUUGAGUGUCUCAGCUUGUGAGACUAUGUGAGAUCUUUCUUGGAUAAUCUUGUGGGGAGAAAUACAUUCGUUUUGGCACUAUGACACUUAAUAAAGUUUAUUGCUAUGGUA
This is a long non-coding RNA of Pogonomyrmex barbatus (red harvester ant), 1063 nucleotides long. Lineage: Eukaryota; Metazoa; Arthropoda; Insecta; Hymenoptera; Formicidae. The record is from RefSeq and is a predicted model, not a curated record.